UUUUGAUCCUGGCUCAGGACGAACGCUGGCGGCGUGCCUAAUACAUGCAAGUCGAGCGGACUGAUGGGGAGCUUGCUCCCCUGACGUCAGCGGCGGACGGGUGAGUAACACGUGGGCAACCUGCCUCACAGAUUGGGAUAACUCCGGGAAACCGGGGCUAAUACCGAAUAAUCAAAGGAACCGCAUGGUUCCCUUGUAAAAGUUGGGUUUUACCUAACACUGUGAGAUGGGCCCGCGGCGCAUUAGCUAGUUGGUGAGGUAGUGGCUCACCAAGGCGACGAUGCGUAGCCGACCUGAGAGGGUGAUCGGCCACACUGGGACUGAGACACGGCCCAGACUCCUACGGGAGGCAGCAGUAGGGAAUCAUCCGCAAUGGACGAAAGUCUGACGGUGCAACGCCGCGUGAGUGAUGACGGUCUUCGGAUUGUAAAGCUCUGUUGUUAGGGAAGAACAAGUGCCGUUCAAAUAGGGCGGCACCUUGACAGGUACCUAACCAGAAAGCCCCGGCUAA
RNAcentral lists this ribosomal RNA (511 nucleotides) under Alteribacter aurantiacus. RNAcentral describes it as "bacterial SSU rRNA". It matches the Rfam family "Bacterial small subunit ribosomal RNA", at positions 11 to 500 of the family's 1533-position model. The record is from RNAcentral. Lineage: Bacteria; Bacillati; Bacillota; Bacilli; Caryophanales; Bacillaceae.